This 452-nucleotide small RNA is filed under the name Caenorhabditis elegans. RNAcentral's name for it is "Unclassified non-coding RNA Y69A2AR.56". The record is from RNAcentral. Lineage: Eukaryota; Metazoa; Nematoda; Chromadorea; Rhabditida; Rhabditidae.
GACACUCAUCGCUCCUCGGCUGGACACGAACUUGUGGAUAGCCCCUUGGAACCUCGUGAUUCUCACGAUUUCUUGGAUCUUUCGACUCCACAGGAACUUCAAGACGUCGGACGAGUUGCUCGACAAGGUAUGUUCACAUUGUACAUGUCUUGUGCUCUUGAAGCUGGCAUGUUUGAGCUGAAGCCUUGUGCUCGUGCUAAAUCUGAGGACCUGUGGAGAUGCUUCAGGAUCACAGAUUCUUGGAGUUUAGAGCUUCAGGGCUUCGGUUUCUGGGCUGGCUUGCUCCUGGGAAUGUAGCAUCUCGCAAGAGCUUCUUAUACCAGUGCACAAUAUCCUCACAUAUCCCUUGUCCUUUUCAGAACAAACCUAUGAUGUGGACACCCCCAGCUCGGUUGAAUCUUUGGAUAUCCCCUCGGACACGUCCAACAACGCCGGAAGAGUUGCUCGACAAG